Schistocerca serialis cubense is the source of this 73-nucleotide non-coding RNA. The record is from the annotation of a RefSeq genome assembly. Lineage: Eukaryota; Metazoa; Arthropoda; Insecta; Orthoptera; Acrididae.
GCUGCGGUGGUGUAAUGGUUAGCAUUUCUGCCUAAUAUGCAAGAAGACCAAGGUUCGAGUCCUGGCCGCGGCG